AGUAACGGCGAGUGAAGCGGCAACAGCUCAAAUUUGAAAUCUGGCCUCUUUGGGGUCCGAGUUGUAAUUUGUAGAGGAUGUUUCGGGUACCGCCUCGGUUUAAAUUUCUUGGAACAGAAUGUCAAAGAGGGUGAGAAUCCCGUCUUGGACCGGCGGUAGGGCCCAUGUGAAACUCCUUCGACGAGUCGAGUUGUUUGGGAG
RNAcentral lists this ribosomal RNA (201 nucleotides) under Exophiala pisciphila. RNAcentral's name for it is "partial large subunit ribosomal RNA". It matches the Rfam family "Eukaryotic large subunit ribosomal RNA", at positions 82 to 280 of the family's 3401-position model. Lineage: Eukaryota; Fungi; Ascomycota; Eurotiomycetes; Chaetothyriales; Herpotrichiellaceae. The record is from RNAcentral.